This 580-nucleotide ribosomal RNA is filed under the name uncultured Bacillus sp. RNAcentral describes it as "bacterial SSU rRNA". It matches the Rfam family "Bacterial small subunit ribosomal RNA", at positions 790 to 1368 of the family's 1533-position model. Lineage: Bacteria; Bacillati; Bacillota; Bacilli; Caryophanales; Bacillaceae. The record is from RNAcentral.
GUAGUCCACGCCGUAAACGAUGAGUGCUAAGUGUUAGAGGGUUUCCGCCCCUUAGUGCUGCAGCUAACGCAUUAAGCACUCCGCCUGGGGAGUACGGUCGCAAGACUGAAACUCAAAGGAAUUGACGGGGGCCCGCACAAGCGGUGGAGCAUGUGGUUUAAUUCGAAGCAACGCGAAGAACCUUACCAGGUCUUGACAUCCUCUGACAACUCUAGAGAUAGAGCGUUCCCCUUCGGGGGACAGAGUGACAGGUGGUGCAUGGUUGUCGUCAGCUCGUGUCGUGAGAUGUUGGGUUAAGUCCCGCAACGAGCGCAACCCUUGAUCUUAGUUGCCAGCAUUUAGUUGGGCACUCUAAGGUGACUGCCGGUGACAAACCGGAGGAAGGUGGGGAUGACGUCAAAUCAUCAUGCCCCUUAUGACCUGGGCUACACACGUGCUACAAUGGAUGGUACAAAGGGCUGCAAGACCGCGAGGUCAAGCCAAUCCCAUAAAACCAUUCUCAGUUCGGAUUGUAGGCUGCAACUCGCCUACAUGAAGCUGGAAUCGCUAGUAAUCGCGGAUCAGCAUGCCACGGUGAAUA